Molecule: ribosomal RNA, 490 nt
Filed under: uncultured bacterium
Lineage: Bacteria
Description: partial 16S ribosomal RNA
Rfam family: Bacterial small subunit ribosomal RNA
Source: RNAcentral
AUUGAACGCUGGCGGCAGGCCUAACACAUGCAAGUCGAACGGUAACAGGAAGAAGCUUGCUUCUUUGCUGACGAGUGGCGGACGGGUGAGUAAUGUCUGGGCAACUGCCUGAUGGAGGGGGAUAACUACUGGAAACGGUAGCUAAUACCGCAUAACGUCGCAAGACCAAAGAGGGGGACCUUCGGGCCUCUUGCCAUCGGCUGUGCCCAGAUGGGAUUAGCUAGUAGGUGGGGUAACGGCUCACCUAGGCGACGAUCCCUAGCUGGUCUGAGAGGAUGACCAGCCACACUGGAACUGAGACACGGUCCAGACUCCUACGGGAGGCAGCAGUGGGGAAUAUUGCACAAUGGGCGCAAGCCUGAUGCAGCCAUGCCGCGUGUAUGAAGAAGGCCUUCGGGUUGUAAAGUACUUUCAGCGGGGAGGAAGGGAGUAAAGUUAAUACCUUUACUCAUUGACGUUACCCGCAGAAGAAGCACCGGCUAACUCCGUG